CAGGUUUACCUGUGUGACUGCGUACCUUUUGUAUAAUGGGUCAGCGACUUAUAUUCUGUAGCAAGGUUAACCGAAUAGGGGAGCCGGAGGGAAACCGAGUCUUAAUUGGGCGUUAAGUUGCAGGGUAUAGACCCGAAACCCGGUGAUCUAGCCAUGGGCAGGUUGAAGGUUGGGUAACACUAACUGGAGGACCGAACCGACUAAUGUUGAAAAAUUAGCGGAUGACCUGUGGCUGGGGGUGAAAGGCCAAUCAAACCGGGAGAUAGCUGGUUCUCCCCGAAAGCUAUUUAGGUAGCGCCUCGUGAAUUCAUCUCCGGGGGUAGAGCACUGUUUCGGCUAGGGGGCCAUCCCGGCUUACCAACCCGAUGCAAACUGCGAAUACCGGAGAAUGUUAUCACGGGAGACACACGGCGGGUGCUAACGUCCGUCGUGAAGAGGGAAACAACCCAGACCGCCAGCUAAGGUCCCAAAGUCAUGGUUAAGUGGGAAACGAUGUGGGAAGGCCCAGACAGCCAGGAUGUUGGCUUAGAAGCAGCCAUCAUUUAAAGAAAGCGUAAUAGCUCACUGGUCGAGUCGGCCUGCGCGGAAGAUGUAACGGGGCUAAACCAUGCACCGAAGCUGCGGCAGCGACACUCAGGUGUUGUUGGGUAGGGGAGCGUUCUGUAAGCCUGCGAAGGUGGCCUGUGAGGGUUGCUGGAGGUAUCAGAAGUGCGAAUGCUGACAUAAGUAACGAUAAAGCGGGUGAAAAGCCCGCUCGCCGGAAGACCAAGGGUUCCUGUCCAACGUUAAUCGGGGCAGGGUGAGUCGACCCCUAAGGCGAGGCCGAAAGGCGUAGUCGA
Molecule: ribosomal RNA, 839 nt
Filed under: Salmonella enterica subsp. enterica serovar Cerro
Lineage: Bacteria; Pseudomonadati; Pseudomonadota; Gammaproteobacteria; Enterobacterales; Enterobacteriaceae
Description: partial 23S ribosomal RNA
Rfam family: Bacterial large subunit ribosomal RNA
Source: RNAcentral